AAGUCGUAACAAGGUUUCCGUAGGUAUUGGUUUGCCUGCGGCUGUCAGUCUGCUUUGGCAGGCAACAUCUCUAUCUUGCUGGAAUUUACAGAAUUGUACUACCAGUGGCUCUUAUGAGUUCACAGAUCAAAUAGAGGUGGCCCUCUGGGUUAAGAUAUGAUCGGAUGCAAGCUUUGUUGCUUGCAGUAAGUCGGAACCUGCGGAAGGAUCAUUACUGAGAACUUGCCCCUUUGGGGGUAGAUCUCCCACCCUAUGUUUAUAUACUUUGUUGCUUUGGCAGGCCUGCCUCUGUGCUACUGGCCUUGGCUAGUUAGUGCCUGCCAGAGAACCAUCACUCUGAAUCAUUUAUUGUCUGAGUACUAUUUAAUAGUUAAAA
This 376-nucleotide unclassified non-coding RNA is filed under the name plant metagenome. RNAcentral describes it as "partial contains small subunit ribosomal RNA and internal transcribed spacer 1". The record is from RNAcentral.